AACGAACGCUGGCGGCGUGUUUAAGACAUGCAAGUCGCACGGGACAAGGUGAGUAGUAAUACGAAUUUUGUUCAGUGGCGCACGGGUGAGUAACACGUGAAUUACAUGCCCUAUAGAGGGGGAUAGCCCAGGGAAACUUGGAUUAAUACCCCAUAACAUCGCAAGAUUAAAGGUGGCCGCAAGGCUGUCGCUAUAGGAUUGGUUCGCGCCCUAUCAGCUUGUUGGUGAGGUAACGGCUCACCAAGGCUACGACGGGUACCUGGUCUGAGAGGACGAUCAGGCACACUGGAACCGAGACACGGUCCAGACACCUACGGGUGGCAGCAGUCGAGAAUAAUUCACAAUGGGGGCAACCCUGAUGGUGCAACGCCGCGUGGAGGAUGAAGGUCUUCGGAUUGUAAACUCCUGUCAUCUGGGAGUAAGGCGUGGAUGUUAACAGCAUACACGAUUGAUAGUACCAGAAGAGGAAGGGACGGCUAACUUCGUGCCAGCCGCCGCCGUAA
This 503-nucleotide ribosomal RNA is filed under the name uncultured bacterium. RNAcentral describes it as "partial 16S ribosomal RNA". It matches the Rfam family "Bacterial small subunit ribosomal RNA", at positions 29 to 523 of the family's 1533-position model. The record is from RNAcentral.